RNAcentral lists this ribosomal RNA (468 nucleotides) under uncultured bacterium. Its description in RNAcentral is "partial 16S ribosomal RNA". It matches the Rfam family "Bacterial small subunit ribosomal RNA", at positions 28 to 507 of the family's 1533-position model. The record is from RNAcentral.
GACGAACGCUGGCGGCGUGCUUAACACAUGCAAGUCGAACGGAAAGGCCCGGCUUUUGGGGGGUGCUCGAGUGGCGAACGGGUGAGUAACACGUGAGUAACCUGCCCUUGACUGUGGGAUAACUUCAGGAAACUGGGGCUAAUACCGGAUAGGAGCUCCUGCUGCAUGGUGGGGGUUGGAAAGUUUCGGCGGUUGGGGAUGGACUCGCGGCUUAUCAGCUUGUUGGUGGGGUAGUGGCUUACCAAGGCUUUGACGGGUAGCCGGCCUGAGAGGGUGACCGGCCACAUUGGGACUGAGAUACGGCCCAGACUCCUACGGGAGGCAGAAGUGGGGAAUAUUGCACAAUGGGCGGAAGCCUGAUGCAGCAACGCCGCGUGCGGGAUGACGGCCUUCGGGUUGUAAACCGCUUUCGCCUGUGACGAAGCGUGAGUGACGGUAAUGGGUAAAGAAGCACCGGCUAACUACGUG